AGAGUUUGAUCCUGGCUCAGAACGAACGUUGGCGGCGUGGAUUAGGCAUGCAAGUCGAACGCGAAAGGGGUAGCAAUACCCCGAGUAAAGUGGCGAACGGGUGAGUAACGCGUAGGAAACCUGCCUUCGAGUGGGGGAUAACAUUCCUAACGGGAUGCUAAUACCGCAUGUGACUACGGAGUCGCAUGGCUCUGUAGUGAAAGGUGGCCUCUGUUUACAAGCUACCGCUCAAAGAUGGUCCUGCGUCCCAUUAGCUAGUUGGUGAGGUAACGGCUCACCAAGGCUCCGAUGGGUAGCCGAUCUGAGAGGAUGACCGGCCACACUGGGACUGAGAUACGGCCCAGACUCCUACGGGAGGCAGCAGUCGAGAGGCUUCGGCAAUGGGGGAAACCCUGACCGAGCGACGCCGCGUGGAGGAUGAAGGCCUUUGGGUUGUAAACUCCUGUCAUGAGGGAAGAAACGUCACCGUUCGAAUAGGGCGGUGACUUGACGGUACCUCAAGAGGAAGCUCCGGCUAACUCCGUGCCAGCAGCCGCGGUA
RNAcentral lists this ribosomal RNA (540 nucleotides) under uncultured Planctomycetota bacterium. RNAcentral describes it as "bacterial SSU rRNA". It matches the Rfam family "Bacterial small subunit ribosomal RNA", at positions 8 to 522 of the family's 1533-position model. The record is from RNAcentral. Lineage: Bacteria; Pseudomonadati; Planctomycetota.